GCAGGCGUAGCUCAGCUGGUUAGAGCGCCAGAUUGUGGAUCUGGAGGUCGGUGGUUCGAUCCCACCCGCCUGUACCA
This 77-nucleotide transfer RNA is filed under the name Pseudolabrys sp. RNAcentral describes it as "tRNA-His". It matches the Rfam family "tRNA". From Rfam's summary of the family: Transfer RNA (tRNA) molecules are approximately 80 nucleotides in length. Their secondary structure includes four short double-helical elements and three loops (D, anti-codon, and T loops). Lineage: Bacteria; Pseudomonadati; Pseudomonadota; Alphaproteobacteria; Hyphomicrobiales; Xanthobacteraceae. The record is from RNAcentral.